Marmota monax (woodchuck) is the source of this 377-nucleotide long non-coding RNA. RefSeq lists it as uncharacterized. The record is from RefSeq and is a predicted model, not a curated record. The transcript has 3 exons. Lineage: Eukaryota; Metazoa; Chordata; Mammalia; Rodentia; Sciuridae.
GAAAUACUCAGGCUCAGACUUUGAGAUUAAUCCUCAACUGAAUGAAAUUGUAACUGAUUACACAGUUGAAGAUUGAGGCACUGAUGGGAAACUGUGGCUAACACAGGAAAAUAAAGUUUCCUACUUGAAACUUGACCAAGGUAUUGUACUGGUGAAUAUGGGCCUGGAGUCUCUAGUCAGGCUUCUGAGUUCAUUUCCAUUUAACAACCACUUAAUUCAAAAUGCUUUUCGAGAAUGGAAAAUAGUUUGCUGUGUUUGGCCUUGAAGAGGAAGUGACACAAUCUGAACUGGAAAGGUGACCUCCUAUUUCCUGGAAGAGCAGAGUAGCUACAUUGCUUUCCACACUUGAACUGGGAUCGCUGUAUCAGAAAUACAAA